GGGCUUGUACCGGUUUCGACGGGGAUCAUGCAUCCGGAGAAGCUAUCCGCAAGGCAUUGCGUCAACAUCCAAACUUAAAUAUAAACGCUAACGAUUCAUUCGAAGCAGUAGCUGCCUAAGUGCAGCUUGUCGCCCCUCUGUAUCUGUUCGGAGGACCAGCGGCAUCAUCAAAACAGACAACGCUAUAUACAAAGCUUUGAGUAUGUAGUUGUAUCAUGAAGCUAGUAUUUCAAUAAUGGCGUCUGUCACAUAGUUGGAAUAUGAAUUAAAUCCGGCAGAAUAUGAUAGUAGAAGUACGAGGAAUUGGUUUUCGGACAGGGGUUCGACUCCCCUCAGGUCCAUAU
RNAcentral lists this transfer-messenger RNA (344 nucleotides) under Eubacteriales bacterium. It matches the Rfam family "transfer-messenger RNA". Rfam says of the family: Bacterial tmRNA, also known as 10Sa RNA or SsrA, is named for its dual tRNA and mRNA-like properties. Lineage: Bacteria; Bacillati; Bacillota; Clostridia; Eubacteriales. The record is from RNAcentral.